This is a long non-coding RNA of Boleophthalmus pectinirostris (great blue-spotted mudskipper), 918 nucleotides long. RefSeq lists it as uncharacterized. NCBI's taxonomy places the organism in Eukaryota, Metazoa, Chordata, Actinopteri, Gobiiformes, Gobiidae. The record is from RefSeq and is a predicted model, not a curated record. The transcript has 3 exons.
CUGAAACGUUCAAAAUGUGGGAGAUGUAGCUGAAUUCUUUGCCUUGUUUAGACAAAGAAAGAAAUUCCCGCAAGCGCGUAGUGUCAAGACAUCACCACAGCACUUUGAAGUGAAGUUAAAGCAGAUCUGACCUGUAAACUUGCUCAGUGAUGUUACAUACGUGUCUCCAUGAAGGGAUUUGGAAAUUUUGGCCCAGCUCCUGUCGUGACCAGAUGCAGUUCGGAGCUGGAGUGGGUGAAGUGCGCUGAAGUACCACAAACACAACAACAGUUUGAGCUCGGACUGGAGUCAAACUGGGGACCUUUUGGUUUGUGGGCGAAGGAUUACUAACUGUAUAUUGGCGGUUGAUGCCGUACUCUCAGAUGGAGGUUCAAGAGACAGAUUUUCCCGUUUUGAUUAUGUUGUACUUUGCCUUGAAAUGUCCAAAAAGUCAAUUCUAAAAUGCUGAACUGGAUCAUUUCAAGUCUGUGUUCAAUAUUUCUGGUUUAUGGAAUGCAUUUCAAUUAUAACUGUACUUAUAACUUACUUGUUAAUUGUUUUAGUGUGUGGUGUUUAGUCUUGAUUUGUAGAGCAGAAAUACCAUACCGACUUUAUUUAUGAAGCUCUUUAAAAACUUAACGACGGGCCAAAGUGCUGAACACAAACACAGAACAGACAAGGACAAAGUCGCAGGCAAAGUCACAAUACAACUACUAAAAAACAUAGAAAACAAUAAGAUACUCAGCCACAAGAAACGUACAUGUCACAGUGAAAGAAAGUGCGGUUUUAAGAGUGAUUUAAAAACAGGUACAGACUCCAGACUCCGCCGCAACAGAAAACGCACAAUCCACAUUUGGGGUGUAACGAUAUCCGAGUGUCACGAUACGAUAUUGUCACGGUGCAAUAUUUACUGCGAUAUCGUGGGAAACCUCACGAUAU